CCCUGUCCCAUUCCCUGUCCCUGUGUCCCUUUCCUUGUCCCCACAUCCCUUUCCCUGUCCCAUUCCCUGUCCCUGUGUCCCAUUCCCUGUCCCUGUGUCCCUUUCCUUGUCCCCACAUCCCUUUCCCUGUCCCAUUCCCUGUCCCUGUGUCCCUUUCCCCUCAUCCCAUCCCUGUUUUCCAGGUCUCCAACGUUCCUACGGCCGGAAUCGCUCCCUCCCGGCUCCAGCUCCGGCUCCAGAGGCUCCGGGAGAGGCUCCAGGUGUGCAGGUGGGUGUGGCCUCACCUGCCCCACCCGUGGCACCCCCCGUGGCACCCCCUGAUCCACAUCCCUCCCAUUCCCUCCCAUUCCCAGGGAUCCCAGGCCCCGCUCCUGGCACGGACACGACGGAUCGCCCGGAGCGCCCUCCUGAAAUCCGCCCCCUACAGCAGCUGCUGCCGCAGGAAAGGGGCCCAGGGAAGCAGCUCCCGGGCCGGCACCACCCGGACGGUGCCGGAGCCGCUCCGGAAUGUGGCAGAAUCCCAGGAUGUGGGAGAAUCCCGAGGAUCCCCAGCCCUGCUGCUGGAACACGGCAGCGGGAGGGCAGAUGUUCCGAAGGCUCCGACCCGGAAAGGAAAACCCUGCUCGGUGUGGGACGAGCUGAGCCCGGAGCGGCGCCGGGUCCUGCAGCACCACCUGCACCUGCGCAGGUGAGCUGGGCCCAAACCGGGCC
RNAcentral lists this long non-coding RNA (711 nucleotides) under Lepidothrix coronata (blue-crowned manakin). RNAcentral's name for it is "lncRNA (ENSLCOG00000003025.1)". Lineage: Eukaryota; Metazoa; Chordata; Aves; Passeriformes; Pipridae. The record is from RNAcentral.